Long non-coding RNA from Lagenorhynchus albirostris (white-beaked dolphin), 1160 nucleotides. RefSeq lists it as uncharacterized. The transcript is spliced from 4 exons. Lineage: Eukaryota; Metazoa; Chordata; Mammalia; Artiodactyla; Delphinidae. The record is from RefSeq and is a predicted model, not a curated record.
CUGAAACACUGGGCCAGUUAUAACCUGCUUCUCCUAUCAGCACGCCACUUUUAUGCAAUCAUCAUAUGCAAAACUAAGCAUUUAUCAGCACUCUGCAGAAUCCCAACGCGACUCCCGGAGGUGUCAGCACACUCGCUUCCCACCGGAGCUGCGCUCUUCCGAAACGGCCAGGCUGCGAGCGCGGAGGUGCACACGGGCGCUGAAAAGCGACGGGUCAUUCCGCCCUCGGCCCCGGGUUUGUUUUUCAACAAUACACGGCAAAAAAAAAAAACCCACACGCUUCCAGUUAUCUCGCCUGCCCCUGCACCUGAGCAGAAAGAUCCAUCCGCGAGAAAGGAAGGAGGCGCCUAAGGCGCCCGGGGAGAGACGUUGAGUGGGGCGCUCAGAAAACAAGAGGGCGUCCGCGCGGGCCGGGCCCGGCCGGGGUCAGCGGCCGCAGCUCCCGUCUGGGGCUGCGCAGGAAGGCCCGAGGUCCGGGCCGCACUCACCGAAGUCCAGGAACUGCUUCAUGGAGAGCGGGGACGGUGAGAAGCGCGCGUAGAAGUCCACUUGGCCCGGAACGCCGCGUUCGGGCGCCGGGCCGGAGCCCGAGUCCGAGCCUCCAGUGUGCCCGCAAUGACUAGGUGAAAUCAACACAAUCAUGGCAACUCAGAAGUGCAUUCAUACACAAGGCAGCUGUAAGUAUGGGUAACAGGGCCAUCAUCAAGCAGAGACGUGACACUGGGGGAAGAGUGGACACAGCGCAAACGCUCACCAUAUCCCGCUAGGCGCCCCGCAGGGCAUUUUCUGAUGGAGAUCAAUUCUGUUAGGUGUAACUGUGAUGGUUUGCUGAAUAUUAAUCACAGGCCGGGAUCUGAAGACAAAGGAGUGAAAAAACAAGCUCAGCCCUUUGCUACUUGGAGGUCUGGCUGACUGACAAGAGGAGAAGAAACAAAGAGAAAGAACAUACACCUGACUGGACAGAGAAACAGAGCUGAAAGGGAAACCAGGCUGGAGUUGGGGAAAAGGGCUGGGAACACGAAUGUGAACCAACAACCAACUCCCAAAACAGAAAAGCCACUCCUGGCCUUCAAGAAACUCACAAAUCUCAGAUGCCAAAAACAAAAGAACAAAGAAACAAAUAAACAACCCCCCACACACAACAGUCCUUACCACUUUUG